This 686-nucleotide ribosomal RNA is filed under the name uncultured bacterium. RNAcentral's name for it is "bacterial SSU rRNA". It matches the Rfam family "Bacterial small subunit ribosomal RNA", at positions 581 to 1274 of the family's 1533-position model. The record is from RNAcentral.
GUAUAAGUCUAUUUUCAAAUAUUUCGACUCAAUCGAAAGAAGGGGAUAGAUACUGUACAUCUAGAGUAUUUUGGGGGAUAGUGGAAUUUCUGGUGUAGCGGUGGAAUGUGUUGAUAUCAGAAGGAAUGCCAAAAGCGAAAGCAGCUAUCUAUGAAAUUACUGACGGUCAGAGACGAAAGUUUGGGUAGCAAACGGGAUUAGAUACCCCGGUAGUCCAAACCGUAAACAAUGCUUGCUAGGUGUUUUUCUAUGUAUAUAGAGAAGUGUCGUAACUUAACGGGUUAAGCAAGCCGCCUGGGUAGUAUAUUCGCAAGAAUGAAACUCAAAGGGAUAGGCGGGGGAACACACAAGCAGUGGAUGAUCUAGAUUAAUUGGAUAAUAAGCCAACAAUCUUACCUAUACUUGACAUAUACUGUGUCAUUAGUGAAAGCUAAUUAUUUUGUAGCAAUACAAAAGCGGUAUACAGGUGGUGCACGGUCGUCGUCAGUUCGUGCCGCAAGGUGUUCGGUUAAUUCCGAUAACGAGCGCAACCCUCAUCUUAUGUUAUUAUGUCAUGAGAGACUGCCUGGGUAACCAGGAGGAAGGAGAGGAUGAUGUCAGAUCAUCAUGCCCCUUAUGUAUAGGGCUUCAUAGAUCAUACAAUGGGUAGGACAGCGAGAAGCAAUACCGUGAGGUGGAGCAAAUCU